Molecule: long non-coding RNA, 1368 nt
Filed under: Lactuca sativa (garden lettuce)
Lineage: Eukaryota; Viridiplantae; Streptophyta; Magnoliopsida; Asterales; Asteraceae
Description: long non-coding RNA (LSAT_LNC002311)
Source: RNAcentral
UCACGUUCUCACAUUAAAUUGUGUUCUCAUUUGAACUUAACCCUAUAUAUAUAUAUAUAUAUAUACAAUUUUACACAAUGAUGCCUUUGAAACUUUUAGGUAGGAGAAAUUGUAAUUACAGCUUCAGACAUUUUUUGGAAAAGAAUUUCACAUUUGAAUGUUGUGUUAUGUUGGUCGGUCUCUUCAAGUCAUUUUAAUUUCCUUUCUAAGAUUAAGUCCUUUGCUUCAUCAUAAUAUAAAUCAUUCAGCCAAAUAAUUAUAGUAACCUUAAAAGACAACCAUACAUGCUUCAAAUAUCUUUGUCAAAUGAUCAUCCACAUAUUAUUUACCAUCCAUAACCUGCAAUACAAUGAAUGAUUGUGUUAGCACCAUAUUAUGAGCAAGACCAGUUAAGAUAAAAUCAACAUUACAACGAUUUCCAGCCAAUUGAUGUGCAAAAAAUUGAUAAUCACAAACCUCAUAAUCUGACUUUGGUAAUCAUGGUCCACAAACCCUUAAAAAAUCUCAUCCUGAACAUUAAAUUGAAAAUAUAUGUCACGUUUUAGUAAGUUUUAGUAUGCCAACAAACACAUUUAGGGCAUGUUCGGCAAAACUAACUAGUAGCGGGUAGCUUGUAGCUUGUAGCGUUUUGUUAAACGCUACAUGAAGUAGCAUUUGGAUUUGAAGCGUUUUGAUUAAACUAAACGCUAGAAGCGUGUAGUGCCAAACGAGGCUUUUUGUUUUAAACGGAGUGUUUUGUCAAACGCUAGAAGCUAGAAGCUCUCAAACGCUCCGUGCCGAACACCCCCUUAAGUAAGCUAAAACUGAGAUUAUCUUUGUUUCCUCUAACUUUUGAAUCAAAAUCACAUAAUAAUACAUACCUCCAUAACUCCAUUACCUCCAAUAAACACUAGAUUGUAACUUUUAGAGAAAAGGCUUCCUGCAACCAUAGUGGCAGAAACCAACAAUAUAACAAGAGAAUAAGAAUUAAACUACUAGAUAAUCUAGAAUGAUUGCUAGAACUGCUUAAACUACUAGAUGAUCUUACUACUUUUAUUUUCUUUCGUGGCCUCCAAAAUGGAUGUCAUGGCCUCAUAGGGUUCUGCAUUAACAUUUUAACACCAUAUUCUGACAUGUACAAUGUCCUCAUAGAGCAUGUGCAAAGUGAAAGAACUUUCCUUGAAGCGGGUCUACAAAAAUCAAUAACCCUAAAUUAACUAACACAUCACAAAAUCAGUAACCGGAUAACAAAACUAGUGAGACAUACCUAGAGAAAAUGAGAGUUGAUGAACAAAGAGAGAAAGCUGGAAUCAGGGAAAUUGAAACUAUUGAUGAAAUCAAGAGUUGGAAUCAACACCAAGCUCAAAACAGGGAGUUGGAAUCAACACA